UACGAAGGGGGCUAGCGUUGUUCGGAAUCACUGGGCGUAAAGCGCACGCAGGUGGACCGAUAAGUCGGGGGUGAAAGCCCGGGGCUCAACCUCGGAAUUGCAUUCGAUACUGUCGGUCUCGAGUCCAGGAGAGGUGAGUGGAAUUCCUAGUGUAGAGGUGAAAUUCGUAGAUAUUAGGAAGAACACCAGUGGUGAAGACGGCUCACUGGACCGGUACUGACGCUCAGGUGCGAAAGCGUGGGGAGCAAACAGG
This 253-nucleotide ribosomal RNA is filed under the name uncultured bacterium. RNAcentral's name for it is "partial 16S ribosomal RNA". It matches the Rfam family "Bacterial small subunit ribosomal RNA", at positions 524 to 776 of the family's 1533-position model. The record is from RNAcentral.